RNAcentral lists this transfer RNA (73 nucleotides) under Chloroflexota bacterium. Its description in RNAcentral is "Chloroflexi bacterium tRNA-Arg". It matches the Rfam family "tRNA". From Rfam's summary of the family: Transfer RNA (tRNA) molecules are approximately 80 nucleotides in length. The record is from RNAcentral. Lineage: Bacteria; Bacillati; Chloroflexota.
GUCUCCGUAGCUCAGUGGAUAGAGCGCUUGCCUCCGGAGCAAGAAGUCGCAGGUUCAAGUCCUGCCGGGGACA